Molecule: ribosomal RNA, 472 nt
Filed under: uncultured bacterium
Lineage: Bacteria
Description: partial 16S ribosomal RNA
Rfam family: Bacterial small subunit ribosomal RNA
Source: RNAcentral
GACGAACGCUGGCGGCGUGCUUAACACAUGCAAGUCGAACGAUGAACCCGGAGCUUGCUCUGGGGGAUUAGUGGCGAACGGGUGAGUAACACGUGAGUAACCUGCCCUGGACUCUGGGAUAAGCGUUGGAAACGACGUCUAAUACCGGAUAGGACCUUGGAUCGCAUGAUCUGGGGUGGAAAGUUUUUUCGGUCUGGGAUGGACUCGCGGCCUAUCAGCUUGUUGGUGAGGUAAUGGCUCACCAAGGCGUCGACGGGUAGCCGGCCUGAGAGGGUGACCGGCCACACUGGGACUGAGACACGGCCCAGACUCCUACGGGAGGCAGCAGUGGGGAAUAUUGCACAAUGGGCGAAAGCUUGAUGCAGCAACGCCGCGUGCGGGAUGACGGCCUUCGGGUUGUAAACCGCUUUUAGUAGGGAAGAAGGGCUUCGGCUUGACGGUACCUGCAGAAAAAGGACCGGCUAACUACGUG